GCGGGGCCUGCGCGCGCAGGCGCGGUGUCCGCCUCCCCGUCCCGCCUCAUCCCCGGCCGCCGAGGAGGACAGAGCGUCUGAGGCGCCGCUGCUGGGGCAGAGCCGGCGGACGACGCAGGCGCAGUGCCCGCGCCGGCUCCGCCCCCAGGUCGGCUACUCCUAAAUCUGACGUGGGAGGCUGGAGACACAGGAAAGGGUUGAAGUUGCAGUCCAGAGACCGUCUCCUGUGGAACCAGCGAGAGCUGAUGUCGCAGCAGAGCUCAGAAGGCACCCGACGAGGGAGAGUUCCUUGCUCAGAGGCCAUGGGCCUUUGUUCUACUCAGGCCCUUAACUGUCCACGUGAUGAAAAGCAAUCUGCUUUCCUCAAAGUCUAAGGACUCAAAUGUCUCAUCGAAAAACACCUUCAGAGGAACAUGCAGAGUCAUGCCUGAGCAAGCCUCUGGACCCCGUGACCCACCCGGGCUGACGCGGGCAAGUUUCCCUCACAGUUCCCUCACUAGCCUUUUGGUACCUGCGGUGUCUGGAACGCUCUCUCCUGUUUCGUUCCUGAUAUUGGUCAUUGUCUUCUUGUUUUUCCUUUGUUAGUCUUGCCUGAGGUUUCCGUGUGGACACAUAUGUUCAUUUCUUGGGUAUAUGCCUUGGAAUGGAUUUGCUGGGAUCCGGGACAGCUCUGCGAUCAGCAUUCGGAGGAAUUGCCCGCCAUUUUCUAAAGCAGCUGUUCAUCUUACACUCCCACCAGCAGCAUGGAGAGUCCAGCGCCUCCACAUCCUGCUCAGCGCUCACUAUUUGACUUGUUGGGUCUAGCUAUCCUGGUGGGUGUGCAAUGUGAUGCCACUGUGGUUUUGAUUUGCAGUUCCCGAGAGCUCAUGAUGAUCAUCUUUGAUGUGCUUAUUGGCUAUUUGCAGUUGUCUAUUUAAGUCCUUUGUCCAUUUUAAAAUCAGGUUCUAGCUGGGUGCAGUGGCUCACACCUGUAAUCCCAGCACUUUGGGAGGGCAAGGCGGGCAGAUCCCCUGAAGUCAGGGUUCAAGAUCAGCCUGGCCAACAUGGCGAAACCCCAUUUCUACUAAAAAUACAAAAAUUAGCUGGGAGUGAUGGUCUGUGCCUGUAGUCCCAGCUACUUGGGAGGCUGAGGCAGGAGAAUCGCUUGAAUCUAGGAGGUGGAGGUUGCAGUGAGCCGAGAUCGUGCCACUGCACUCCAGCCUGGGUGCGACACAGGGAAACUCCGUCUCAAACAAAAUCAGGUUGUGUGUUUUUUGUUGUGGAGUUGAGGAUUGUGGGUUUUAUCUGAGGGAUGUGGGAGCUGGUGGAAGAUGUUAAGCACUGAAGACGCUGGCUGCUACCUGGGCUGCUGUAGAGAGAAAGAAGCUGAAAGGGUGGGUCAGCUAGUGGGAUAAUCCAGGUGAAAGGUGUUGGCCACUCGCUCUGGGAGGGAACAGAGGAAGUGGUGACACAGGACUGUCUCUGAAUGUAUUUUGAAAGGGGCGUCAACAGGCUUUGCCAGUGGGUCAGAAGUGAGCAGGGAGGGACUGCCUCUCACCUGGAAGCCUGGAGUUGCCUUAGCUGAGAAAGGGGAUUCGCAUCCUGUAGCUGUUGUGACAAAGCAGCACAGCCUGGGGAGCUGAGCAUGGUAGCAGCUCCUUCUCCCACAGCUCUGGAGGUCAGGCAUGAGCGGGACUGUGCCCCUCUGAAACCCGUAAACAGGGGUCCUUCCUGGCUCUUCCAGCUUCUGGUGGCUGUGAGUACUUGGUAUUCCUUGGCUUGUGGCCACCUCACUGCACUCUCUGUCUCCAUUAUCACGUGGCUGUCUUCACUCCGUGUGUCUGCGGCCCAAUUCCUCUCUUCUUGGGGGGAUGCCGUGUGCUUGCCUCAGUAGCACCUAUGCUAAAAUUGGAAUGACUCAGAGAAGAUCAGCAGAUUGUAAUGUAGAAAAGGAUACCAGUCAUUAGCUUAGGGGCCAACUCAAGGACCUCAUUCUCACUUUUCUGCUGUUAUUAUUUUUUUAAUUAUUAUUAUAUUUUUUGAGACAGAGUCUCACUCUGUUGCCCAGGCUGGAGUGCAGAGGCGUGAUCUUGGCUCACUGCAACCUCCGCCUCCUGGAUUCAAGCGAUUCUCCUGCCUCAGCUUCAAGAGUAGCUGGGAUUCAGGGGCGCACCACCACGACCAGCUAAUUUUUGUCUUUUUGGUAGAGACAGGGUUUCACCAUGUUGGUCAGGCUGGCCUUGACCUCAGGUGAUCCACCCGCCUCGGGCGCCCAAAGUGCUGGGAUGACAGUCGAGAACCACCAUGCCUGGCCUCAUCCUAACUUAAUUAUAUCAGCAAAGAUCCUAUUUCCAAAUCAGGCACAAUCACAGGUACUGUAGCUUCGUAGGACAUCACCAGAUCUUUCUGGGGGACACAAUUCCAGCCAUAGCAAAGGAGGAAGACAGCGGAGAAGCUCGGGGAGGAAGGCCGAAAGCCAAGUGUCAGAUGCAUCGAGUGGAGGGGUCUGCAGGACGUGCUGGAGGAGGCUGAGGAGGAUGAAGGCCGAGAGCUGAGUGUCAGACGCAUCGAGUGGAGGGGCCUGCAGGACGUGCUGGAGGGGAGGCUGAGGAGGCAGCUGUCAAACCAUACUUUUUAAAAGUUAAAAACGUUCCUCACACAACUGUAAACUGAAGAUGUGUCAAAGAUUUAUUUAAAUCAUUAGUGAGGAAGCCAGCACGAUGGUGAGGCUGGUUGGAAAGAUUGCAGAGAGGGAAGUAUUUGUAGUCACUUAAAAAAAGUUUGAGUAGGCUGGGCGCGGUGGCUCAGGCCUGUCAUCCCAGCACUUUGGGAGGCCGAGGCGGGCGGAUCACGAGGUCAAGAGAUCGAGACCAUCCUGGUCAACAUGGUGAAACCCCGUCUCUACUAAAAAUACAAAAAAUUAGCUGGGCACGGUGGCGCGUGCCUGUAAUCCCAGCUACUCAGGAGGCUGAGGCAGGAGAAUUGCCCGAACCCAGGAGGCGGAGGUUGCAGUGAGCCGAGAUCACGCCAUUGCACUCCAGCCUGGGUAAGAAGAGCGAAACUCCAUGUCAAAAAAAAAAGUUUGAGUAAUUCUGCUGAUUUAGAUUUUAAAAAACCCAAAAGUUUGUUAAUAUUCUACAGGGCCGUAAGGAGGUGGUGGUGGAAAAAAAAAAGAAAAAAAAUUCUACAGGGCCACGAACUGCAACCUUUCUUUCAUUUUUUAUUUUUUGAGACGGAGCCUCUCUCUGUCACCAAGCUGGAGUGCAGUUGGUGAUCUCAGCUCUGCCUCCCGGGUUCAAGUGAUUCUCCUUCCUCAGCCUCCUGAGUGGCUGGGACUACAGGCGUGCACCACCACGCCCAGCUAAUUUUGUAUUUUUAGUACAGACAGGUUUUACCGUGUUGGCCAGACUGGUCUCAAACUCCUGACUUAAGGUGAUCCGCCCACCUCAGCCUCCCAAAGUGCUGGGAUUACAGGCGUGAGCCACCGUGCCAGGCCAAACUGCAACCUUUUCUAACUGUAAUCUUUUCAACUGGACAGAAAUGAUUUCUAUCACUCACUACCAGACAAAACGUAUUUGUGUUGCCGUCAGACAGGAAUAAUAAGCCAUCUGUCUUCAACAGAUCAGUCUACCCUGCUGAGCUGUAAAAUAUCAUAGUCAAUAGUAAAUAGCAAGUUAAACAGGUGCACACUGCAGAGGAUCCCAAAGUCUGCCCGGCAGGCUUGCUCAGGAACACUGGACACAGGAAUUUGGGGGUAUGUAAUCCUAAAUUUGGGGAUGCUUUUAAACUUCCUCUUGGAAUGAUAAAUAGCCUCCGAAGUUAUUCUUGACCACAGAAAGCUAGUCUUGUGCUCUGACCUAAUUCAGCUACACAGGUGCUGCAAGAAACGGCAAUUAACACAUACCAGCGUCCUUGUGAGGUGACACAUCUAAGCCAUGUGGCGUUAGGCAACGACCAAGCCAGAAAGUCAACUUCUGUCUGGAGGUGUCAUCUUAAGGAAUGUAGGACUGAGCCUACAUUACACCAGAUACAUUUAGUUACAUUUCUCUUAUUUGUUCUUCUCUUCCUGGGCUAGGAAACCGAACGAAGUGGGUCUUCCUCAGGUGUGCCUACAGCACCCGAGCAUGUGCAGGUUUCCACUAUCUGAAGGGCUCCAGUGUCCUCCGUGGCUCUCAGCCUGCCAGGAAGUGUCCUUCUUACCAUGUGUGAGGCUGAUGCCUUGUGUGCCAGAACACAGGUGCCUGGCCAGUAUGGGUCUGAGGGUUGUGUGGGCACAUAGGUUAGGGUUCAGCACAUACACCACAACCCUUGUUCUUUAAUGUGGACAUGUUGUGGAGUCACAUGAAGUUUAUUCUCAAAUAUAACAUGCAUGGAAGGCCUUGGCUACACAAUCAAUUUCUCUAAUUAUAUCCUGGUGAAGAGGAGGACAGAUUUCUACCACAACAAUGCAAAUUACAAGAUUUUUAUUAAAUGUCAGUAAAACUAUUUUUCCUGAAUUCUGAAGUGAGAAAAACACCAUUUAAAGAAUGUUUCAUUGGCAGGGCGUGGUGGCUCACACCUAUAAUCCCAGCACUUUGGGAGGCCGAGGCGGGUGAUUCACGAGGUCAAGAGAUCGAGACCAUCCUGGUCAACAAGGUGAAACCCUGUCUCUACUAAAAAUACAAAAAUUAGCUGGGCAUGGUGGUGCGUGCCUGUAGUCCCAGCUACUCAGGAGGCUGAGGCGGGAGAAUUGCUUGAACCCAGGAGGCAGAGGUUGCACUCCAACCUGGGUAACAAGAGCGAAACUCUGUCUCAAAAAAAUAAAAUAAAAUAAAAAAAACCUAAAAAACCCCAAAACAGCAUCGCUGUGAACAUGUAUGCACAUGCCUCCCAAUGAACAAGUACACGUCUCUCGGAAUACACCCCGGCAUGGAAGGCACCUAGGAAUAUCUAUUGACUUAACCUACAGCCGGGAAUGGGUGUGCACACUGGGGUAGCUUGCAUCUUCUCAAAGUGGCCACAACUUCUGCCAUACAGCAUGCUUCUCUUAAAAUGUGAUUAUGACACAUCUCCCAAGAGGCGCGGUCUGUAUUUCCCCUAAUUCUUGAAUCUGGACAGGCUUAUCACUAUGGCAGAAGUGACACCGUGUGACUUCAGAAGCUAGGAUGUGGAAAGUGAUACAGGUCCAACCUGGUUGUCUUUAGAGUGUCGGUCCUGGAGAGUGGCUCCUGUCCCAUGAGGAUGUUCCCAAGGCCCUCAGCCCAGAGCCUGGAUCAAAGUCCCAGCCAUGUGAGUGCACCAUCUUGAAGUAGCUCCUCCAGCCCCUAGUGGAGGUGCCCCAGCUGAGGAUGCAUGAAGUAGUCUGGCUGUGCCUGCUGAAUCCUGCCCAAACAGCAGAUGUGUGAACGGAAGACGUGACUGCUGUUUUGAGCGACAAAGUUUUGGUGGUGGUUUGUUAUGCAGCAACAGGUCACUGACAGACAUGUCCACCUUCACUGGGUAAUGCCACUCGGUCAUGGUAUUUCCUGAGAUGACUGUCCCACGAGGCAUGCUGGCCAGCAGGGCACUGCUCCGCCGUGCCGUCAUUACUGAUAUUGUCCCAUAUGAACGCUGGUGCCUCUUUGCUGUGGUUUUAGUUUGCAUUUCCAAAGUUACUAGUAAGACGACUGCCCUCCCUUUCUAUGUUCCUCUCUGCCAGAAGCCUGAUGAUGACACGGCUUUCUUUGCUGACUUGGGUUUUGCGCAUUUUACUGGCUUGUGUCUCUUUCUAACAGAUUUGAAAGGUGUUUCUAAAUACUAAUAAUUUGCAAGGUGUACAUAUCUUCUACGUUUUCAUUCUUCAGUCUCUUUAUGGUGCCUUUUGAGGAACAAAGAUUUGAUAAUUUUCAUCCUUUUAUUUAUCUGUUUUUUUUAAUUAUUUUUUUUGAGACGGAGUUUCACUCUUGUUACCCAGGCUGGAGUGCAAUGGCGCAAUCUCGGCUCACCGCAACCUCCGCCUCCUGGGUUCAGGCAAUUCUCCUGCCUCAGCCUCCCGAGUAGCUGGGAUUACAGGCACGCGCCACCAUGCCCAGCUAAUUUUUUGUAUUUUUAGUAGAGACGGGGUUUCACCUUGUCGACCAGGAUGGUCUCGAUCUCUUGACCUCAUGAUCCACCC
Molecule: non-coding RNA, 6112 nt
Organism: Callithrix jacchus (white-tufted-ear marmoset)
Lineage: Eukaryota; Metazoa; Chordata; Mammalia; Primates; Cebidae
Source: RefSeq, a predicted model, not a curated record